This 453-nucleotide ribosomal RNA is filed under the name uncultured Porphyromonadaceae bacterium. RNAcentral's name for it is "partial 16S ribosomal RNA". It matches the Rfam family "Bacterial small subunit ribosomal RNA", at positions 341 to 792 of the family's 1533-position model. The record is from RNAcentral. Lineage: Bacteria; Pseudomonadati; Bacteroidota; Bacteroidia; Bacteroidales; Porphyromonadaceae.
ACGGAAGGCAGCAGUGAGGAAUAUUGGUCAAUGGGCGGAAGCCUGAACCAGCCAAGUCGCGUGAAGGAUGAAGGUAUUAUGUAUUGUAAACUUCUUUAGACGUAGAGAAAUAAGCGGGUCGUGACCCGUGAUGCUAGUAUACGUAGAAUAAGGAUCGGCUAACUCCGUGCCAGCAGCCGCGGUAAUACGGAGGAUCCGAGCGUUAUCCGGAUUUAUUGGGUUUAAAGGGUGCGCAGGCGGUCUUUUAAGUCAGUGGUUAAAUCGUGAGGCUCAACCUCAUCACGCCAUUGAUACUGGAGGACUUGAUUGCGGUUGAGGUAGGCGGAAUUCGUCGUGUAGCGGUGAAAUGCAUAGAUAUGACGAAGAAUACCGAUUGCGUAGGCAGCUUACCAAGCCGUAAAUGACGCUCAUGCACGAAAGUGCGGGGAUCGAACAGGAUUAGAUACCCUGGUA